This 1434-nucleotide long non-coding RNA is filed under the name Lepisosteus oculatus (spotted gar). RNAcentral's name for it is "lncRNA (ENSLOCG00000022671.1)". The record is from RNAcentral. Lineage: Eukaryota; Metazoa; Chordata; Actinopteri; Semionotiformes; Lepisosteidae.
ACGCCUUUGAUGAAGGACUGGACCCACUGCUGGAUUACUUGUCAAGUACUGAAAGCUUGAACUUCAGAGGAGUGAAACACAGGGGAGAACCCACCUCUCAAGUCCCAAAGGCCGGCCGCUAUGUUUGCCCUGUGCAGAAGAUAAAAAGCACAAGAAACAGAGAGCAGACCAGCUCCAGUGUGGGCUCAAGGUGAAGGACAGCUAGGGGGUGGGGGGGGGGGUUCUUACAAGAAUGUGCGUGCAGCUGAGACAUCUGUGUCAAGGGCAUCCCUUGAACAAUCUGACCCCUGAGACAACACCAGGCAGAGAGAGAGGAGCAGCUCAAACACUGCAGUGUAUCUGAUACACCAUGAACAGGGGACAGUCUAUGGAAAGUCACACAGGGUCCUGGCUCCGGGGUUGUGCUGGGUUGAUAAGGGAUGCUGUAGGUCUGAAAACCUAUUCAGUACCAGUAUGGAGCAGCAUACUGCAGCAGUGAUGUUAAUGAUUAGCUCCCAGUAAGAACAGGGAUGACUCCAGCCAGUGAUGGCAGCUCUGGGGGCUCUGAUCCUCCAGACUUCUCAUUUGAGAAGCUUACGUGGAGCCAUGGUGUUAAAAUUUCCCCUGUGGAGUUCUGUCCACUGGAGAGGUGCAUAUGUACAGUUGGGGAGGUCGUGGGCUGCAAGAUCAAGUCCGUUUCUUGCAUGAGUGGAGGGAUAGUUGUUUUCCUACAGUCUACUGAUCUGGCAAACACCCCGGUGGAGAAGGGGGUUGUCUUGAACGGUACCUUCUUCCUGGUGCUGCCCUCUCCAAUGUGCCUCCGUUUAUAUGGAACGAGCUGCUGGAGAGGAAGCUGUCCCUGUACAGACAGGUGGUCUCUCUGAUGUCCCUCUGGGCUGCAGGGCACCACAGCUAAAGCAAAUCAUGUCUUUCUGAAGACAAGUGUACGUGAUCUUGGUGGAAAAAAACCCUGGAAGUGAUCAAUGUGGCACUUAAAUUUUGAAUUGACAACUGUGAUUAUGUGGUAUUCGCUACUUCGGAAUUGAUGAAGUGCUUCAGGUGCGGGAGCGAGGGGAACAUGGUGAAGAACUGCCCGGAGAUGGAGGAUGAAACGAGCAGGUACCCUCAGUCCCAGGGUGCACUGGAGGUCAGGCAGGCAGAGGGGAGCGGAGCAGCGCAGGGAGGCAGCGGGGAGACAGCCCACAGGCGGUUUGCAGGAGAAGAGAUUGCUGGAGGUGUCCCACACAGGAGAAUAGGUAGGAGAGAUUGGACUGCCACAGCCCACAGAAGAACAGGGAACCCCCCACCCCCACCUCCACCCCACACCGGGGAGUAAGACACGAGUGCUAGCGGAGCAGGGGAGCUGCAGAGCCCCACUGCUCAGGAGAGUCAGGGUGAGAGGGAUCAGGCAGUGACAUCAACUGAGGAAGACUCAUCUCAUUUGCCAGUGAAAAC